Molecule: long non-coding RNA, 1314 nt
Organism: Salvia splendens (bonfire salvia)
Lineage: Eukaryota; Viridiplantae; Streptophyta; Magnoliopsida; Lamiales; Lamiaceae
Exons: 3
Source: RefSeq, a predicted model, not a curated record
UUUGCGAAACAAAAAUUGAAGAGUAUAAAAAACCAUGCCUUCAGUUAGAAUCAAUACAAGAGUUUCAGUAUCUAUGUUACAACGGUGAGAGUACAUAAAUAUGUGAAUGUGUAAGAAAUACGGCAAACGACGAGAAAAGAAUACGAAGAUGUUAUCCCGAACUAAAAGCGUUCGAAAACAAGAUACAUUAAUCUAUAGGAUCGUCUCCCGUAUGACUUGCACCUUGGGCUAAAAGCUAAAGAAUAAAAUCUAGUAUGGCUUGCACUUUGGGCCCGUUCCACGACCCGUGGCCGUACAGCCUUCGACUCCAGGCAGCGAGCACGAAGGCCUGAGGCAGCGAGCCCGUCGCGGCGAGAGCAACGUGGCAGACAAGCCAUUCCCUCACCUACAAGAUAAAAACAACCUUUAGUUACUAAAGAACAAAAGAAAUUAAAAGAAACUUACCAUGAGGAAGGAGACAACCUCUCUUUAGUUGGAAGACCAAAGACUUACACAAAAGGGGCAAGUCAAUCCUGCAAAUCCAUGCUUAUGUACCAGCCACAAACGAACAAGAAGAAAUAAAUGCAAAGUGCAUAGUACUACAAAUAACACCAAAAUUCUUAAGUAAAAGUGCUGCAGGGAGGAUCAAACAAGGGGAUAUGCUGCGUAUGAAAACAAAUGAGGAUCUGUCCCAUAAAUUCCUCCCAAAUACACCAAAGUUUGCCUAUAAGAACCCCCCUCAUAUGCAUUAAACCCCUACCUCCCACACACAUCGAAAUCCAGCAAAUAUAGAGAGAGUUAGAGAGGGAGUUUCUAGGUGAAAGGGGCAGAGAGUGGAGCUAGGUAGCAAGAGUUUUCCAAGUUCUUUUCAAACUCAGCUUUUUCAUCAGGAGCGUCUACACACGGCGUUUAGGAUUAAAUCAAGGGAACUUUAUGGCUAAGGAAAAGCUCUGAGGUUGAACGUGAACGAGGAGGCGAAGGUGUUGGGAAAUGACUAUUAAUAAGUAAUUAGUCUCCCCUUCGAAACUAUUACCUCGAGUUGAUUUACUGCUCUUAUGUUUACUUAAUGAUUGAUGAGAGUAUUUUUAGUCGCGAAAUAGCUACGCUCACUAGUACUAGGGAGAUGUGGUCGUGACAGGGCGAGAUAAACCCAUGGUCCAUGGACCAUUUUUAUAGUUCACUCUAAAUAUAAAUACCAACAUUAUAUUUAACCAGUCGUGAUCAUUAUUGACCAAAAAGGACUUUGGCGGUUCGAUUGUUACAAACUCUACAUGCAAGUGUUUUGGAAGUAGUUCUACUAUCAGCAUGGUAAAUAACACGAAUAGAUUUUACAUA